This 1785-nucleotide long non-coding RNA is filed under the name Gossypium barbadense (sea-island cotton). Its description in RNAcentral is "long non-coding RNA (GBAR_LNC013017)". Lineage: Eukaryota; Viridiplantae; Streptophyta; Magnoliopsida; Malvales; Malvaceae. The record is from RNAcentral.
UGAUGGAAAAUGAAGUGUAUUUCAUUCAUACUUUAUCAUUGGCAUAUUGCCAUUACAUAUAUCAAAUAAAGAUAAAACUUACAAGUCAGAUUUCUACCUAAACAUGUACCUACUUCCACUAAGCUUUUCAAACAACAACAAAAAAAAACUUAACUUGUACAUUAAAACAAAGCUGGUUAGCAGCUCCAUCAACAUCAAAUUACAUCAAUCAAGAAGUUCUUAAUAAAUAGACUUCAAAAUGAACAAAAUUCAGUUGGUAUUUAACAGCAUUAAGGCUUCUAGUUGCUGCCAAUUUGGUUUGUGCACUUGAGACUUGCAUGGCCACCUUUGUUGCUUGAGUCAUGAACUAGCUGCAUGGAGGUCAGCUUCAACAGAUACCCUCCAAAUAAGAAAGCAACCACAAACAUCCACACCAAUUUCCAGUACUCCCUCUCUUAAAUCAAUGCUCACUAACUCUCAAAUAUUGGCAUGCAGCAGCACUACACCUUUGGGGUUUAUAUAAUCGUAAAUCUACAUAAGUAUGUUUCCUGGAAAUUCAUUGGAUAGGUCCACUUAUGGAUUAAUUAUCUUUUCCCUCUUUUUAUUGAUAAUUAAUUAUUUGGAUAAUAAAACCAGAGCAUUUGGAUGCAGGUAACUGAGCUCAGAUUUCAACCAUUGCUACGUUAAUUUCACGCUUUUAAGUCUUUAAAUCAAUGGACUUUCAAUGAUUAAGCUUUUGUUUAUUCUUUACCAGUUUGCUUUAAAAUAUAAGAUUAAGUUGGCUAAUGUAAGACCCAAUUUGUGCCCGGGCCUACACUAAAACUAAAACCAAAAAUAAAAAUAAUAAAAACAAAAUAAAAUCCAAUAAUCAACAAUUCAAUGUCCAUAACCCAAUAAAUCCAUAUCCUAGCCCAAACCCAAAAGAACCCAAAAGAAGGAGAAUUUCAGCAGCAGCUCCUGGAAUAUACUGAAAGAAUACCAGAGAGAUGGUUUUCCACGCGAGAUCCCCGGAUCAUCUUCUCCGUACAACUGAGACUGCAAAAGAAGACACUAGAAGGAGUCAAUAACAGAUUUCACAGCAAAUGACAGUAGGAAAAUAGGAUUUUUUAGAUUUUAUUUAUUUUGGAAAUAUGGCUAUAAAAGCCAGUGAUGUAAUCCAUAAUUUUUUACGCACACAAAAUAGAUGCUUACGCAAGCACACUAUAGGCAGAGAGAAUACAAAAAUUUUAGAAAAGAAUUUCUGAAAGGUGAUUUUUCGGGUUUUUAUUAAUUUGUUCCCUUAUUUUUUUCCCCUGCAAUUACUUUCAUCAUUCUGCAUUUUAGAACAAAAAGAAGUCAAGUUUUACCUUGUGGAUCGGUUUUAGACCUCUAUUUCACUUCGUUGAGAUCGAAGUUGGAAGGGGAAUCUAAAAGUAUUAGACCUCAUGCCUCAAAAUGACACCAAUGAAAUCCCUAAUAUUUCUGAAAUAUUGAAAUAAGGGUGAGGGUCAGAUGUUGUUAAAUAUGUAGAUUCUCAACUUCGGUUUGAUUUUUCUUGAGCAAACAAUAUCAGAUCUAGGAAAUUUUUUUUCUUAAAAAAAGGAAAAAUAAAUUGACUUACCAGAUUCCCUCGAGUGGAGCCUUCGAUGGUGAGGUCUGGUUGUGGUUCAUGCGUCAAUAGCCACCAAAUAAAAUGGUGGUUCCAGGACUGUGAAUAUGAACCCUAAUAUUUUGAUUUUGGGGGCUGUACAUUUGAGUGGGAUGAGUGGUUGCCUUUGGAGAAGAGAAUGGGAAAAGAAAGGCUUAAAUAGCCUAUUAAACAAAACG